AAUCCAACAACAUAUGGGCUCAUGAAGAAACAAGUUGAAGAAAACAAGUUUCAAGUGAAUAUGUUUUCUGCAGAUUUUUUGCCACUGAUCUUUGGUUGUGCCCCACCCAUAUGGAACAUAGACGGGGCCUUUGGACUAUACCAACAGAAGCUCCUUGAAGUUUACUUUCAACCCAAAAACCUCACAUCAUUUGAAGUUGUGUAGCUCAAGAUAUUCAAGUUUUGGUGGAAGGUGUUCAGGCUGAUAAAUGCUUCGCGAAUUUUCGAGGAACUCCCCAAUAACUCACCAAGUUGACUACUCUUCACCCAAGGGAGGCAUACGAAUUCUGCACCAUUUUAAACCCUUUUCACAUCUAGCUAAGGGGGGU
This 367-nucleotide long non-coding RNA is filed under the name Hordeum vulgare. RNAcentral describes it as "long non-coding RNA (HVUL_LNC000609)". The record is from RNAcentral. Lineage: Eukaryota; Viridiplantae; Streptophyta; Magnoliopsida; Poales; Poaceae.